GACGAACGCUGGCGGUGUGCUUAACACAUGCAAGUCGAACGGUAAGGCCCUUUCGGGGGUACACGAGUGGCGAACGGGUGAGUAACACGUGAGUAACCUGCCCUCAUCUCUGGGAUAACAGUCGGAAACGGUUGCUAAUACUGGAUAUGAGCCUGCAAGGCAUCUUGUGGGUUGGAAAGAUUUUUUGGUUGGGGAUGGACUCGCGGCCUAGCCGCUUGUUGGUGAGGUAGUGGCUCACAAAGGCUUCGCCGGGUAGCCGGCCUGAGAGGGCGAACGGCAACAUUGGGACUGAGAUACGGCCCAAACUCCUACGGGAGGCAGCAGUGGGGAAUAUUGCACAAUGGACGGAAGUCUGAUGCAGCAACGCCGCGUGCGGGAUGACGGCCUUCGGGUUGUAAACCGCUUUCAAUUGUGACGAAGCUUUUUGUGACGGUAGCAGUAGAAGAAGCACCGGCUAACUACGUG
Molecule: ribosomal RNA, 465 nt
Filed under: uncultured bacterium
Lineage: Bacteria
Description: partial 16S ribosomal RNA
Rfam family: Bacterial small subunit ribosomal RNA
Source: RNAcentral